AGUGAACGCUGGCGGCAUGCCUAACACAUGCAAGUCGAACGGUAGCACACUAACGGCUGGCGCUUACGGGUGACGAGUGGCGGACUGGCGAGGAACACAGCGGAACGUACUUUUUCGCGAGGGGUAACGUUGGGUAAUGUACGCUACUAUCGCAUGCGGCCAGCAGGUGAAAGCAGGGGCUCGUCGGGCCUUGCGCGCCUGAAGCAGACGAUGUCGGUUUAGGGAGUUGGCGGGGUAAAGGCCCACCACGGCGGCGAUCCGUAGCUGGUCCGAGAGGAUGAUCAGCCACACUGGCACUGAGACACGGCCCAGACUCCUACGGGAGGCAGCAGUGGGGAAUAUUGGACAAUGGGCGCAAGCCUGAUCCAGCCAUACCGCGUGGAGGAGGAAGGCCUUCGGGUUGUAAAGUCCUUUUGUAGGGAACGAAAAGCCGCAGGUUAAUACCGCACGGUUCUGACGGUACCCUAAGAAUAAGCACCGGCUAACUUCGUG
Molecule: ribosomal RNA, 492 nt
Filed under: uncultured bacterium
Lineage: Bacteria
Description: partial 16S ribosomal RNA
Rfam family: Bacterial small subunit ribosomal RNA
Source: RNAcentral